UGGUCUGGUGUAACAAGUUCAUCAACUGGUCAUAAUCAUGUUUGCUCAACCCUGGAAUCACAUAGCUUUGACCAUCUAGGCUUGCAACAGACUGAUGGUUAGCAGGAGGAUACCCUUGAGGAACAGACAGCAGUCCAUCAGAAAUAGGAGAAUCCAGACCAGAACUCAGAUGGGCAGCAGCAGGCCUCCUUCCCUUGUUAAAUGUGGGACUUUGUGGAUACCCAUA
Molecule: long non-coding RNA, 226 nt
Filed under: Nicotiana benthamiana
Lineage: Eukaryota; Viridiplantae; Streptophyta; Magnoliopsida; Solanales; Solanaceae
Description: long non-coding RNA (NBEN_LNC000772)
Source: RNAcentral